Molecule: ribosomal RNA, 449 nt
Filed under: uncultured bacterium
Lineage: Bacteria
Description: bacterial SSU rRNA
Rfam family: Bacterial small subunit ribosomal RNA
Source: RNAcentral
UGUCCAGACUCCUACGGGAGGCAGCAGUGGGGAAUAUUGGACAAUGGGGGAAACCCUGAUCCAGCGACGCCGCGUGAGUGAAGAAGUAUUUCGGUACGUAAAGCUCUAUCAGCAGGAAAGAAAAUGACGGUACCUGACUAAGAAGCCCCGGCUAACUACGUGCCAGCAGCCGCGGUAAUACGGAGGAUGCGAGCGUUAUCCGGAUUUAUUGGGUUUAAAGGGUGCGUAGGCGGACGCUUAAGUCAGCGGUAAAAUUGCGGGGCUCAACCUCGUCGAGCCGUUGAAACUGGGUGCCUUGAGUGGGCGGGAAGUACGCGGAAUGCGUGGUGUAGCGGUGAAAUGCAUAGAUAUCACGCAGAACUCCGAUUGCGAAGGCAGCGUACCGGCGCCCAACUGACGCUGAAGCACGAAGGCGCGGGUAUCGAACAGGAUUAGAUACCCGAGUACAG